ACGAACGCUGGCGGCGUGCUUAACACAUGCAAGUCGAACGGAAAGGCCCUGCUUUUGUGGGGUGCUCGAGUGGCGAACGGGUGAGUAACACGUGAGUAACCUGCCCUUGACUUUGGGAUAACUUCAGGAAACUGGGGCUAAUACCGGAUAGGAGCUCCUGCUGCAUGGUGGGGGUUGGAAAGUUUCGGCGGUUGGGGAUGGACUCGCGGCUUAUCAGCUUGUUGGUGGGGUAGUGGCUUACCAAGGCUUUGACGGGUAGCCGGCCUGAGAGGGUGACCGGCCACAUUGGGACUGAGAUACGGACCAGACUCCUACGGGAGGCAGCAGUGGGGAAUAUUGCACAAUGGGCGGAAGCCUGAUGCAGCAACGCCGCGUGCGGGAUGACGGCCUUCGGGUUGUAAACCGCUUUCGCCUGUGACGAAGCGUGAGUGACGGUAAUGGGUAAAGAAGCACCGGCUAACUACGUG
RNAcentral lists this ribosomal RNA (467 nucleotides) under uncultured bacterium. RNAcentral describes it as "partial 16S ribosomal RNA". It matches the Rfam family "Bacterial small subunit ribosomal RNA", at positions 29 to 507 of the family's 1533-position model. The record is from RNAcentral.